RNAcentral lists this ribosomal RNA (253 nucleotides) under uncultured bacterium. RNAcentral describes it as "partial 16S ribosomal RNA". It matches the Rfam family "Bacterial small subunit ribosomal RNA", at positions 524 to 776 of the family's 1533-position model. The record is from RNAcentral.
UACGAAGGGGGCUAGCGUUGUUCGGAAUUACUGGGCGUAAAGCGCACGUAGGCGGAUACUUAAGUCAGGGGUGAAAUCCCGGGGCUCAACCCCGGAACUGCCUUUGAUACUGGGUAUCUCGAGUCCGGAAGAGGCGAGUGGAACUCCUGGUGUAGCGGUGGGAUGCGCAGAUAUCAGGAAGAACACCAACGGCGAAGGCAGCUCGCUGGGACGGAACUGACGCUGAGGCGCGAAAGCGUGGGGAGCGAACAGG